AGACCAUGAUGAGGACACUUUAGGAGAAGGUCUUUGAAACGUUCCAUGCAUCAAGAAAAUGAUUCGUUGGGUCGCUGGCGAAACGAGAGAAUGUCAUUCCUAAGCUU
Molecule: small nucleolar RNA, 107 nt
Filed under: Cephalotus follicularis
Lineage: Eukaryota; Viridiplantae; Streptophyta; Magnoliopsida; Oxalidales; Cephalotaceae
Description: Plant small nucleolar RNA R71
Rfam family: Plant small nucleolar RNA R71
About the family: R71 is a member of the C/D box family of snoRNAs containing the C (UGAUGA) and D (CUGA) box motifs. Multiple nearly identical copies of this snoRNA have been identified in Arabidopsis, and it is thought to function as a 2'-O-ribose methylation guide for 18S ribosomal RNA.
Source: Rfam by way of RNAcentral